UCUCCCCUACCCACAUCGCAUCCCCCUUUUGCUAAUGUAUUCAUUAAUUUAAAGUAUCUUUUAAUGUAUUAAUAUUAUUUAUUAUAUUAUUGAAAAUCAAUCAGAAUCUGAUUUUUUUAAAAAUUUUAUUAAAAAAUUUAAAUAUGUUAUAUUGCAUAGAAUCGUAGACCCAUCUUUUGAUUAAUGUACAUAUUCUAUGGUAUU
RNAcentral lists this long non-coding RNA (204 nucleotides) under Elaeis guineensis (African oil palm). RNAcentral describes it as "long non-coding RNA (EGUI_LNC054237)". Lineage: Eukaryota; Viridiplantae; Streptophyta; Magnoliopsida; Arecales; Arecaceae. The record is from RNAcentral.